RNAcentral lists this long non-coding RNA (3683 nucleotides) under Mytilus galloprovincialis (Mediterranean mussel). Lineage: Eukaryota; Metazoa; Mollusca; Bivalvia; Mytilida; Mytilidae. The record is from RNAcentral.
UAAAAACAUGAGGAAAAUGUUUUUGGGUGAUUUUAUGAUUGAAUCAAUGCAAAUUGUCAUACAUAUUUUGUAAAAACAAUAACGAAAUUGUGUAUUAAUCAUUUUAAAUAUUUCUUUUGUAGAUUUUUUGCUUUUGCUGUUGGUUACAUGUUGAGUUAUUCUUAUUUAGGUGUUUAAUGCAAGUUAUCUAAAAAAAAAUGAUUUGAAAAAAAAAAAACUAAUUUUUUUUGAGGUCCAAUAUAUGUUGCAUCAAUAUUGAAAACCUACAUUUUUUUUAACAGAGAGGAUAUUAAUUUGUAGUUUUUAAGAGAAAGAAUUUUCAUUGACAAUGAAUUUGUUUUUGAGAGAAAGACUUUUUAUUGACAAUGAAUUUGUUUUUGAGAGAAAGAAUUUUUAUUGACAAUGAAUUUGUUUUUGAAGGUAUACACAGUUGUAUCAUAUCUUACUAGCUCUGUCUAUUCUUUUUUGAACCAUUUGCCAAGCUUGUUGUUUGUCAAAGAACCUUAGUCAAACAAGUACUAUUGAGCUGCAUAAUAAUGAAAAAAUUAGUAUUGAUACAAGAAGAUUUAUGAGCCAAAUAAUUUGCAUAAUAAGCAUUCCAUAUCUUUAUCCUGCUCAAUUGUUCUCUUUACUUCCAGGUUCUCAGGGAUGACUGGUUUAUUUGGGGUUCAUAAUCUUUUUGACAAUCAGUUCUUUAAAAUUGACAUAUCAUUAUGCUGUCCCAACAAAGAGAAAUAUUAUAGUUUGUAAUGUUUGAUCACUGUUGUUAGGAAUGGUUCAGUCUUAAUGUUUAUGUGGUAGAUUUAUAAAGCUUAUUCCAAAAAGUAAAGUAACAUGGAAAUGAACCAUCACUGCACAAGUAUAAAAAUAAUUUUUAAUAAAUUCAGGAAUGUAUGACUUUAUGAGGGGUUUUAAAAAAGCUUUUGUCUCUAUUCAAUGGUAGUAAAUGCUAUGCAGAAAAUUUUUAAUUUUUGUCAAAUUUUCUAUAAAUAAUUGCUUCUUCAUGAUGUUAUUUUAUCCUCUUUAAAUCAUUAUUUUUCACUUUAAUUAUUGAGAUCUUAUCCAAAUAUUUAAGGUCUUUUAGGUUUUGCAUAAUUUUGAACAAAUUUCAUUAGAAGGGGCAAUAUUGGCAGUUCUAACACCUAUGAGCAAGAAUCAGCUAGAGCAUUGAAUAUAGAGCAGAUAUUUCUAUCUUGACUUAUGCAGUGAAAAUCAUUCCAAUACUGCAUUUUGCUUUGUUGUUUUUUUUAUCUAAAAAUAGUGAUCUCUCCUUGAUGUUAUGUGAUUAUCAUUGCCUUUUAACAAACUAAUCCAUCCAGAUAAAUUCUAUGCAGACAAAAAUAUCAUUCCAGAAGAAUUGUAAAUAUUUGUUGUUUUGUACUGCCAAAUUUUUUAAUGGCAAUGCAUUGUUAAGAAUAUUUUAAGCAUAUCGUGAAAUACAUAUUUUUGUAUUUUUCUCAGAAUUCCAGAACUAUCUGUCAUCAUAUCUUUUAUAUACGAGAUUUAUCAUAAUUUUUUCUUGUCUCUAAUAAAUUGUUAUAAUUCAAUUAUUUUAAUUUGUCAUGAUUCAAUUAUUUUAAUUUGUCCUAAAUCAAUAUUUUAAUUGUCAUAAUUCAAUAUAUUUUUGUAUGUAAAUAAUUGUGUAAUUUUAUGUUUCAAGAAAUCCAACGCAUAAUGCCAUUACUUUUUUGUGUAAUCAUGAUAUAGAAUAUAUUUAAUCUUAUAAAUAAUUUUAUUAUUACCAUUAUAUAUGUAUAUUUACAUUUAGAUUUACCUUCUGUUUUCUUAGUUAUACAUGUAUUAGCUUUAUUUGGGUUUUAAUAUUUGCCAAAAGAUAGUGUUAUACUUGCAGUGUGCAAUAUGCAGUUUAUUUUUUGAUUGAAAUUGGCAAUGUCAAGUUAUAGCCAGAAUUGGUAUCUUUGACAGAGGUACAACCAGAACGUGAUGAUUUUUUCAAAUGAUUCAAUAGUCACAAGAAUAUUUGUGCAAUAAUUGUUUUAUUGAAUGUCUAAACUUUAGAAAUUGAAAAGGUACUAUUUGAAAAUUCUCUUAAUGUAACAGUUCUUAAAUAUAUUAGUCCUGUGCAGGUCUAUGGAAUUUUUACCUGCAAGUGCAGUAAUAUAGAAUGUUGCCUGUGAGUGCAGAACCACAUCUUCUGAAAAAAUCAUUAAAGUUUGUCAUAUGUAUUAAGACUCUUUUAGUUAACCUUUUGGAGGUGCUUAUACUAGUUUUUAUCAAUUAUUUAGCCAUGGAAAAAAGUAUCAUGUUACUUAUUGUGGGAAAGAAUAUUAUAUAGUAAUACUUCACCGGGUUUCAUUGUUUAUUAUUAGGGCGAAUAUUGUUUUAAUUCAAUUGCUUAUGAAGAACAAUGACGAAGAAUUUUUAGUUUUAAUCUUUUGUUUUUUUAAACAUAAACAAAAUUAACUUUAAGAUAUGAUCUAGAAAGUUAUUUUUAUUCUUUUUCUUAGAUUAUUAGUUCCAUUAAUUUUAAUUAUUUCAUUAUUUCUUAGGUUCAGGUUUCUUGGUUUUGUUACAAAUGCACAGAUUUAGAUUGGGAGCUUUUCGUCUAGUUUUCCCUCAGUUUUAGUUUGUAACCCCGAUUUUUUUUCUUUCUCUCAAUUGAUUUAUGAUUUUCCAGCAGCAGUAUACUACUGUUGUCUUUAUUUAGAAAAACAUAAUCUUCCUCAAAAUUUAGUUGACUAUUUUCUUUGGUAUUAACUUGCUGGUUGUGAUAUGUCCUUCUUUAAACAUGUGAUCUCUGUUGCUGCUUUGUACAAUGUCAGGAGCUUUAUUUAAUGUUUGAUACGCUUUUGUGAUCUUGAUAUUGUAAAGUUUUUUGUUAAAUUUGAAAAUUUGUUUGUGACUGAUUGUUAAAAGGAGUUUUUGUGUUAAUGGAUAAUAUUUCUGCAUAUAAGGCUUAUUUUGGGGGGUAUAAAUGAACAAUACCCAUUUCAAAUUUAACAUUCACUUAAAAAAAAUUAAUAAAUUUUUAAAUUAAUAAAUAAUUUUAAUAAAAAAUAAAGUUGAAAUUGUUUAAUAUAAACAGUACUUUUAUGAAUUGCUAUAUGUAGCCAUUUGAAAUAUUUUUUUUAUAUAAUCUAAAAAUUUGGACAUCUGUUUAAGCUGUUAAGAAAGUGAAAAUUACUUUAUUUUAUAUCCUUUAAAUACAAGUUACAGAAGAUUUCGUUUCAGUUAUGUCUCGAAUAACAUUCUUUUAAUUACUAGUAGCAAGGGUUAAAGUGAAUAUGUACAGUGUUAAUGAGCAGUUUAAAACAUUCAUUUUUUUUAUUGAAAAAAUCAUUUGUUAGCUUUAUUGUCUUAAAAUUGUUUAUUUUUUGUAUAAUAAUUUUACUAACAAAAUACAUAGAUUAUUUGAUUCAGCUAUUUUUAAAUGAUUCAAGAGAAGUUUUGAAUUUUACCUUUGGUCUUUCCUAAAAUCUUUCACAAUGUUUUUAUGUUUAAAAAUUUAAAACUUCACCUCAAUAUGGUUUCAAAUGUUGAUUUAUCCAAAUGACUUCAGUUCAAAAGUCACCAACUUAUGAUCAUGACAAGUGUUCUAUAAUAAAAUUUAAAAUUACCAUACAUAUUUACUUUUUAUCAACAUGUAUAUUUUGAACGUGCCUUACUUUUCCAUUUACAUGUUAUGUAAAUGUUUCACAGAUCAAUAAAAGUACUUUUACAUG